CGAAGGAUCGUUGCGUUUUUCAUUCGUGAAAAUAACACCAAACCCUUCCCUUUUAAUUAACCGCAACGUUUCCAACCGAAUAUAAAACGCAUCUGCCAUCCUAAUUUCCCUUUGGCCGAGAGAAAACGGGAACAAUUUGCGGCCAACGUUUAUUCGUCAAAAAGGUUGAAAAUUUUGCCAAAUUGCCGCGUUCCACGAUGCGACGAGGAGGAGGGAAU
Long non-coding RNA from Apis florea (little honeybee), 218 nucleotides. NCBI's taxonomy places the organism in Eukaryota, Metazoa, Arthropoda, Insecta, Hymenoptera, Apidae. The record is from RefSeq and is a predicted model, not a curated record.